GCCAUCCUCCAGAUUAAAAGUUGAAGUUAUUCUGAGAAAAAAAAUACACACACAGGAUUGAAACUACUCCAGCAUUCUGGUGGGCCUCUUUUCCUGGUGGAGAUGUCUAAGAGAGAGGUCAGUGGUACAAACUAUAAUCCUCACAACUGAAGAUUCAGGCCUGCGAGUGGAGGAAGAUCUAAGAAAAACUUACCUUUGGAUGAACUAUUUUCAACUAUGGCCUUUUAGGAGACUGUGGUCUCCGCCUGCUCUAAUCCCAGUAAGGAGAACACCUGUCCCCCAGGUGUUGCUAACUGCUCAUUGUCUUUUCCACAGGACCAGGCUGCAGCCAGGGCCCAGGUAAGAACACAUUUUUUUUUCUUUUAGCUUCUUAACUUACUCAUCCUGCCUCCCUCAGUCUCUUUGUACUAACAACACCCCCUCAUUCCAUUCUGCUCAAAGCAGUGUGUCAAGCUCUGCUUCUCACAUCCUAAGCAAUAUGUCAUUAAAACUGUUGAAAAAAAUACAUAUAUGUUGUUAUGUUGUGUGUUAUGGGAGCCCCGUGCUUUGGUAGAUAAUGUAGCCAGUUCUGAAUUUGAAUUCUCGUUCUUUAAGUCGGUGGGUAUCUAAUUUUGGGUAGAUUUAUUAAUCUCUUGAAGUUUAUUUAUCCUGAAGGAGGUAAAAUAUUUUUGACUGGGCGGCCACCACUGAUUUUGACAACGUAAGACUUAGCAGAUGUGAAGUUCUUUCUCUUUGUGUCCAUUGCUUUCUGUUCCUUCUGCCCUGAUCGUUGCUUUGUUGUAGUUUGCCUUGAUGUUUAUCCUUUUUUACCCUUUAUUUUUUCAUGGUCUUUUUUGGAAUACUUUUCCUGUCUGUGUGGCCAGGGAGUCUGCCAUAGGAGCUGACUGUGGGAGCAUCUCUUAUUUAGGAUUCGUGGUAUAAUGGACUAAGUGAUGUGUAGUGUUAAAAUUGAAGGCAUUGGGAAAAUAAUAUUGGGUCAUGUAAAUCCAAUGAAUAUAAAGAAUCAAGCCCUGAAUUUGGGAUUAAGAAACACUGGAUCCAGCAAGCAAAUGGGGAUACCAAUUGGAAAGAAAGACCAAAGAAGAGGCUUCUGCUCUGUGUUAAGCUCGACUUGCUCUGGGAGUCAUCUUACAGACUUGGGUUCUUUCCAAAGGUUCAAGGACAUUAGGAAAACUAAAUCUUCUGAUGGUCUGAGGUGAAUACAGUAAUUGCCUGGGGCAAGCUUUAUCAGCAGCUGGGGAGGACAAAAAUGACCUGACUCAGUGAGAGGUUAUUAUAGAACAAAAGAAUGCUAAGGAUUAAUAUCAAUAGCAAGUAGAGGUAUAGGAC
Molecule: long non-coding RNA, 1329 nt
Organism: Panthera uncia (snow leopard)
Lineage: Eukaryota; Metazoa; Chordata; Mammalia; Carnivora; Felidae
Exons: 3
Source: RefSeq, a predicted model, not a curated record